This 1594-nucleotide ribosomal RNA is filed under the name Chaetothyriales sp. MP-2014. RNAcentral describes it as "eukaryotic LSU rRNA". The stretch from base 672 to 1594 matches the Rfam family "Eukaryotic large subunit ribosomal RNA", at positions 1 to 943 of the family's 3401-position model. Lineage: Eukaryota; Fungi; Ascomycota; Eurotiomycetes; Chaetothyriales. The record is from RNAcentral.
AUGGCUCAGUGAGGCCUUGGGACUGGCUCAGAGAGGUCGGCAACGACCACUCAGAGCCGGAAACUUGGUCAAACUUGGUCAUUUAGAGGAAGUAAAAGUCGUAACAAGGUUUCCGUAGGUGAACCUGCGGAAGGAUCAUUAACGAGUUAGGGUCUUCUAGGCCCGACCUCCCAACCCUAUGUUUAUUGAACCUCUGUUGCUUCGGCGGGCCCGUCUCACGACCGCCGGAGGAGUCGCCGCGAGGCGGCCCUCUGGCCAGCGCCCGCCGACGGCCAAAUUCAAACUCUGAAUAAAUCGUGUCAUGAUGUCUAAGUCUAUGAUUAAAUUAACGCAAAACUUUCAACAACGGAUCUCUUGGUUCUGGCAUCGAUGAAGAACGCAGCGAAAUGCGAUAAGUAAUGCGAAUUGCAGAAUUCCAGUGAGUCAUCGAAUCUUUGAACGCACAUUGCGCCCUUUGGUAUUCCGAAGGGCAUGCCUGUUCGAGCGUCAUUAUCACCCCUCAAGCCCCGUGCUUGGUGUUGGACGGCCGGUCGAGCGAUUCGACCCCUCCGAAAGACAAUGACGGCGGCCUGUGGUUCCCCCGGUACACUGAGCUUUUCACGGAGCACGUAUCGGACGAGGGCGCCCAGGACCCCGGUCCUUUCUCCUCUCAGCAGGAAACUUCUCAAGGUUGACCUCGGAUCAGGUAGGAAUACGCGCUGAACUUAAGCAUAUCAAUAAGCGCAGGAAAAGAAACCAACAGGGAUUACCUCAGUAACGGCGAGUGAAGCGGUAACAGCUCAAAUUUGAAAUCUGGCCUCUCGGGGUCCGAGUUGUAAUUUGUAGAGGAUGUUUUGGGUACCGCCCCGGUCUAAAUUUCUUGGAACAGGAUGUCAAAGAGGGUGAGAAUCCCGUCUUGGACCGGCGGUAGGGCCUGUGUAAAACUCCUUCGACGAGUCGAGUUGUUUGGGAAUGCAGCUCAAAAUGGGUGGUAAAUUUCAUCUAAAGCUAAAUAUUGGCCAGAGACCGAUAGCGCACAAGUAGAGUGAUCGAAAGAUGAAAAGCACUUUGAAAAGAGAGUUAAACAGUAUGUGAAAUUGUUGAAAGGGAAGCGCUUGCAACCAGACUUGAGCGCGGCGGUUCCCCCGGUCUUUUGGCCGGGCUACUCCGUCGUGUCCAGGCCAACAUCGGUUCUGAGGGUCGGUCAAAGGCUCUGGGAAUGUAUCUACCCACGGGUAGACUUAUAGACCAGGGUGUCAUGCGGCCUCUCGGGACCGAGGAACGCGCUUCGGCUCGGAUGUUGGCGUAAUGGUUGUCAGCGACCCGUCUUGAAACACGGACCAAGGAGUCUAACAUCUAUGCGAGUGUUUGGGUGUCAAACCCGGAACGCGAAAUGAAAGUGAACGGAGGUAGGAAGCCUUUGGCUGCACUAUCGACCGAUCCUGAAGUUUACGGAAGGAUUUGAGUAAGAGCAUAGCUGUUGGGACCCGAAAGAUGGUGAACUAUGCCUGAAUAGGGUGAAGCCAGAGGAAACUCUGGUGGAGGCUCGCAGCGGUUCUGACGUGCAAAUCGAUCGUCAAAUUUGGGUAUAGGGGCGAAAGACUAAUCGAACCAU